Cavia aperea (Brazilian guinea pig) is the source of this 164-nucleotide small nuclear RNA. Its record names the gene U1. It matches the Rfam family "U1 spliceosomal RNA". From Rfam's summary of the family: U1 is a small nuclear RNA (snRNA) component of the spliceosome (involved in pre-mRNA splicing). Its 5' end forms complementary base pairs with the 5' splice junction, thus defining the 5' donor site of an intron. NCBI's taxonomy places the organism in Eukaryota, Metazoa, Chordata, Mammalia, Rodentia, Caviidae. The record is from Ensembl.
ACACUUACCUGGCAGGGGAGACACCAUGAUCACGAAGGUGGUUUUCCCAGAGCGAGGCUCAUCCAUCGCACUGCGGAUAUGCUGACCCCUGCAAUUUCCCCAAAUGCAGGAAACUCGAGAGCAUAAUUUGUGGUAGUGGGGGACUGCAUUCGCCCUCUUCCCUG